UUACACAAACAAAUACAACACUAAUAAACUAUAUUGAUCAUUGAUAUAUAAAAAUAACAAAGGAUACAUAUUUGUUAUUUAUAAUUACAAACAAACACAUUUGUUUUAAUAAUAUUUCAUGGAUAGGAACUAUCAUACACAAAAGAAAAUAAUCUUACAAUGACAAAAAAAUUUUGACAUAUAUAAUACUAAUAUACCCCUAAAAUAAAUUAUUUUGUACCCUUAAUUUUUAGAGAUCUAGGGAAAGCCCUGUCGGUCCCAUGCAUGUACAAGUAAAAUAAAUGCACUUCACUUUCUCUGGGGCACACAUAUGUUUUGGACAAUCUGCAUUUUUUUGGCAUUUCUUAAGAAUAUGUUUAGCACCAAUUACACCAAGAGAUAAAGAAAGAAAGAUUAUCAAAAUAUAAACAAACUUAUGAUUUUGUGGCAUAUUUUUCCUACUCUUUACCUGAUAUAUUGAAAAUUGUUAGACCGAUCACUUUAAAUAGAUUUUAGCACUUUCAUGUUGAAAGAAGCAA
Molecule: long non-coding RNA, 518 nt
Filed under: Trifolium pratense (red clover)
Lineage: Eukaryota; Viridiplantae; Streptophyta; Magnoliopsida; Fabales; Fabaceae
Description: long non-coding RNA (TPRA_LNC001707)
Source: RNAcentral